GAUGAACGCUGGCGGCGUGCUUAAUACAUGCAAGUCGAGCGAAGCGCGGACGGGUGUGUAACACGUGGAUAACCUCCUAUAAGACUGGGAUAAAUUCGGGAAACCUGAGCUAACCCGGCUCCUUAUAGAUGGAUCCGCGCUGCAUUAGCUAGUUGGUAAGGUAACGGCUUACCAAGGCAACGAUGCAUAGCCGACCUGAGAGGGUGAUCGGCCAGACUGGAACUGAGACACGGUCCAGAGUCCUACGGGAGGCAGCGGUAGGGAAUAUGCCGAAAUGGGCGAAAGCCUGACGGAGCAAGGCCGCGUGAGUGAAGAAGGUCUUCGGAUCGUAAAACGCUGUUAAUAGGGAAGCGGGACCUAAUCAGAAAGCCACGGAUAGCUACGUGCCAGCAGCCGCGGUAAUAC
RNAcentral lists this ribosomal RNA (405 nucleotides) under uncultured bacterium. RNAcentral's name for it is "partial 16S ribosomal RNA". It matches the Rfam family "Bacterial small subunit ribosomal RNA", at positions 28 to 526 of the family's 1533-position model. The record is from RNAcentral.